Molecule: ribosomal RNA, 440 nt
Filed under: uncultured bacterium
Lineage: Bacteria
Description: partial 16S ribosomal RNA
Rfam family: Bacterial small subunit ribosomal RNA
Source: RNAcentral
CCUACGGGUGGCAGCAGUGGGGAAUAUUGCACAAUGGGGGAAACCCUGAUGCAGCGACGCCGCGUGAGUGAAGAAGUAAUUCGGUAUGUAAAGCUCUAUCAGCAGGGAAGAAAAUGACGGUACCUGAGUAAGAAGCCCCGGCUAACUACGUGCCAGCAGCCGCGGUAAUACGUAGGGGGCAAGCGUUAUCCGGAUUUACUGGGUGUAAAGGGAGCGUAGACGGGAGUGCAAGUCUGGAGUGAAAGGCGGGGGCUCAACCCCGGGACUGCUCUUGAAACUGUACGGCUGGAGUGCAGGAGAGGUAAGUGGAAUUCCUAGUGUAGCGGUGAAAUGCGUAGAUAUUAGGAGGAACACCAGUGGCGAAGGCGGCUUACUGGACUGUAACUGACGUUGAGGCUCGAAAGCGUGGGGAGCAAACAGGAUUAGAUACCCCAGUAGUC